AAUUCAGGCUGUAACACAACAAAAUGCGAAGAAAUUAAAGGGGUGUCAAUACUUACUGAAGUCACGUACAAUAAUUGAUACGUCACCGUAGUAAUAGCGAAACCGAAAGUAGCCAAACAGUCUGUUGCCGGACGAUUUUGCGAUCGUUAUCAGAUCUUUCGACACCUUCUAAACGUCAACAGCCUGUACUGUUUGCGAGGAAUCCAGAGAUGACUUCAGCUACCUCCUUGCUGUUUUUUGCGAUCCAUUUAGCCUGUAUCAGCACUGGAAAUUCCUCUGAGUCAUUUGUCAAACUGGAGUGUAAAACAGAAUACCAUGGGGUUUAUGGUCAGCAGUUAAUUCUAGGGUGCAUUGUCAAACCUGUGGUUGUGGAUGUGACCAUCAUAACGGUGACCUGGAAGAGAAUGGGAGCUGCUGCUAAAGCUGAUGCUAAUUUGUUGGAAUACCAUAAAGAGAAAAGGGAGCUAACCCCUGGGUUUACAUUUGCUGAGCCAUCCUGGAACAAGAAGAAUAUGAAUGUGUCCUUGUUGUUGACAAAUACCAAGAUGGCCGACAAGGGGGAGUAUGAAUGCAUGGUGACCACAGAUGUUGGGAUUGCCACAGCUACAAUCAGCCUCAGUGUCACAGCUAAGUACAAGACUCCAACCAUGAGCUCCAUCCCUGAGACCAACAUCAAAGAGAACACAGAUGUGACCAUUUUCUGCAACUCUACAGGCGGGCACCAGACAGGGUUGAUCUGGUGGUUUGACGAGUUCGGCACCAAUUGGACGCGCAGUGCUGAACUGGUGGCCAAAGAGAUGGACAAUGGACUGUUCAGCCUCUCCAGUAAAUUCAUAGUGCUGAAGGCCACAUCCAGUUACACAAACUACACGUGCAAAGUGCUCAAUGUCAAUGGUGCAGAGGAGGGGAUGGCGUCAUUUGUAAUCCAGUUUGCGUCGCGAGACUUAGGUAUUAAAAGUGACCACUUGGAUAUUGUCUCCACCACCAAAUGGCUAACCCCGGUUGCAGUCAUAGGCUCUCUGAUCAUUGGACUCCUUGCUGCACUGCUGUUCUUUAAGAGGCGUUCUGCCCAACGAGCUCGAAGGCAGUCCACCUUCCCAUUAAUGAGUGGCCACCAACCAGAUACCAGGCAUGAUCAAUAUGUUGAGGCAUGAGGUCUAAACAGCGACAGGAGCUGAUUAGUUAACUGGCAGUCUCUGGAAGGGGCUGUUUCCUUGACCAUCAAUAAGGAGCUUGUCACCUUCACUGUUCUUUGAUGGACUGUUUCCUGUUAAGUGUUCGGUGACAGUCACUUUGGCACUCAGGUCAUUCUGAUUUGAGGCAUUUGUUUCUUCAUAAUCUACUGAGGAUGCCAGCCUUUAAGCACUGUGGUUGAUUACAAAUGAUAUAACUCUUUAACAGCCUAUGUUUAAAAGCCUAACAUAAAUUGUUAUAUACAGAGUUGCCAUGGUGUAGGUAAACUGUAGAUUCUACCAGCAUGAUUGUUAAAACUCAGGUCUGCUAAGAGCAAAUUUGAAUACUGUGAAAAUUCUUUGCAACUUCCGGUGCAGGUUUACAGGCUGUUCCUGCUUUAAGUUAGUUUUAACAGUGGUCAAGUAGGGUACUGUGGCUAUUUGAUCAUAAUGUAGGCCUACCAGAGUGGCCUACCAUAAUAAACAAUGGAGAAAAUGCAUCCCAUAACAUUAUAACAUGGAAAUAGCUGUUCUAUCAUUCAGCCAACAGUAGCAGCCAAUGUGCGGUGUUCAAUGUAAGUCUACAUUCCAUGAGACUUUUGAAAAAAACAUGUAGGACUUGACAUGAACCUGUUUAUCCACAAGGAGGUGAUUGAAAAUGUUGUUGUGUUGUUUGAUGCAAGAAACCACUUGCAUCAUUAUUCCCAUACCAUUAUGACAGAGAAUGACACAAAUUAUGCUACCCUCUGCCUAUUGGCUACUUAGCGUAUUCAAGGCUGAAAUGCACAAGUUUUGUGUUCUUGUAGGAAGCAAUCACCCCCCCCCCCCCCCUCCCACAUUUCUGACUACAAAUUAUCAAUAACUGGGCUAAUAACUCACUAACUAGUGAACAAAUGUACAAAUGUGCACAAGUCGCUACAUAUAGUUCUUGCUUUGAUCUACUCACAACCGCUCAUGCUGUAAAAGCAGUCCAGUUCAAAGUGAAUGGCACAGAUCUAUAUAUGACAAUGGUCUAUUUGUAUAUAGGCCUACUGCAGCUCUGAUUGGUUAUUGGCACACUGGUCUGUGUAGAGUACAAGUCUGCCUGUCAAUGCAAUAGAAUCCUACUCUGAUGCGUUCUGCCUACAACAAAAUAUUUUAUAUAUUUAGUUUUGCAUAGCAAGUAUUGCACUGUUUGUUUUGUUUCGGUAUGUUGUAUUGAAAGUGGCUGAUAUUGCGUUCAUUCGAUCACAAUUCCCACAGUAAAGGGAAACACUGAUAGUGUUAACUAACAGGCAAAACUCUAGAAAGUUGAGUAAAGUUCAGACUCGCACAGGGCUGAUAUUUCUUCUGCGUAUCAGUCCCGGGGAGCUGCACAUGCGCAGCUUAGAGGGAACAUUGUUCAUGAGUGUACACAGCACUUUUUCAAAAAAGAUGAAGUGAAACUAAUUUCGCCUCUGAGGUUUCACAAGACUGUACAGUGCAAUACGACACGUUUCAUUUGACCAAAGAUUUGUUGAUCAUCAGGUUUCAAUAGAUACUGCUGUGCCUGCCACUGUCCUCCCUGGGCUUUCAUUCUGCUACAAUGUGUAUGAGAAGAAAUGUUAUGCUAAAUAGCACAUUACUUUUGACUAGAAGGAAUAGGGUGCCAUUUUGAAGUCAUCCUUUGACUUGACUUUGUGUAAUAUCUGGAACUUAUUGUAACAUUAAACCAACCUUGUUACCAACAGCCAGCCUGUUGCUUCAACAGUGCUACCGCAGCAGUUUCUUUUGAUUUCUCCUUCCUCUUUCUGCUGCUGGAAAAUUUAGAUCCAUAUCUAUGUCUUGCCCAGGCCCGCCUCCAUGAAGUCAGUUUAAUGGAAUGCAACAGUAAACAUGAAAACCGAUGGACUAGAGUCAAUUAUUAAUUAAGUUUCAAGGUGACGUAAACAUCUUCACCUGGUGGUUGAUUAUGAUCAUUUUGGAAAAACAUUUCAAAACAUUUUGUGUUAUGCAAGGGGCAGCAAUUGUCUUAUAUUUAUAUAGUGAUCGUUUCAGUUCACAUUUUACUGCUAUCGUGUUGCUGGUGAUGGCGUUACAUAUCGACUGAGAAAUCUGUUGUUAUAUUGAGGUAACUUGAGGUGAAUGCCGUCCACAGCAAGACUACACCUCCCACAAUUCCUUCCAACCCUUCUACAGUAUCUGUUCCUUCUUGCUUAAGUGCAAACUUGGCAGCUGGCACUGUAGAUACAGAUAUGAUUAACCUAUCUCUAUGCCAGCCUGCAUUUUUGCUCAGCUCUACUAUGGUGGCUUGAGAUGUUUGUGUGUAAAGUUAUGACAAUUUGCCAAUUCUAACAAAAUUAAGAAAUGUUAUUUCGUAGUGUAAGAGGCCAAGAUGAGAGAGGACUCCUGUCUGUAUAUGAAGUGAUUGUCAAGUGAUUUGAUAAUAGGUACAAAAAAAAGACAAUAUAAUAUUGUAAUAAAACUAUAAUCUAUUAAUACAUCAACUGCACUUGUAGGCUAUUUAUUGUUAAUCUGUUAAUGGAUUAAGCAUCAACUGCACUUGUAGGCUAUUUAUUGUUAAUCUGUUAAUGGAUUAAGCAUUAACCUCACUUGUAGGCUAUUUAUUGUUAAUCUGUUAAUGGAUUAAGCAUUAACCUCACUUGUAGGCUAUUUAUUGUUAAUCUGUUAAUGGAUUAAGCAUUAACCUCACUUGUAGGCUAUUUAUUGUUAAUCUGUUAAUGGAUUAAGCAUUAACCUCACUUGUAGGCUAUUUAUUGUUCAUCAGCAUCGCUUUUGGUUUAAUGAUGAUAUUUUUGAUUGAAUUUGUUUUAAGCUAAAUUGUAAUAGUAGGUUUUAUGUCCAUUUUGACAGGAGCUCGAAGGCAGUCCACCUUCCCAUUAAUGAGUAUGUCCUUCAAUAUUCAGUAUAUGUCAUUUUAAUUUGUCACUUUGAGUUUAUGGUUUCCCAUCUUUCCUAGACAGUUCACAGAAGUCACUGUAAAAGCAAUACAAUACAUGUCUGCUUGAGGCCUAUGUACCUUACCCCAUAUGUACCUUACCCCAUAUGUACCUUACUCCAUAUGUACCUUGCCCCGUAUGUACCUUGCCCCGUAUGUAUCUUACCCCAUAUGUACCUUACCCCAUAUGUACCUUACCCCAUAUGUAUCUUAUCCCAUAUGUAUCUUACCCCAUAUGUAUCUUACCCCAUAUGUAUCUUACCCCAUAUGUAUCUUACCCCAUAUGUAUCUUACCCCAUAUGUAUCUUACCCCAUAUGUACCUUACCCCAUAUGUACCUUGCCCCAUAUGUAUCUUACCCCAUAUGUAUCUUACCCCAUAUGUAUCUUACCCCAUAUGUACCUUGCCCCAUAUGUACCUUGCCCCAUAUGUACCUUGCCCCAUAUGUACCUUGCCCCAUAUGUACCUUGCCCCAUAUGUACCUUACCCCAUAUGUAUCUUACCCCAUAUGUAUCUUACCCCAUAUGUAUCUUACCCCAUAUGUACCUUACCCCAUAUGUACCUUGCCCCAUAUGUAUCUUACCCCAUAUGUAUCUUACCCCAUAUGUAUCUUACCCCAUAUGUACCUUGCCCCAUAUGUACCUUGCCCCAUAUGUACCUUACCCCAUAUGUACCUUGCCCCAUAUGUAUCUUACCCCAUAUGUAUCUUACCCCAUAUGUAUCUUACCCCAUAUGUAUCUUACCCCAUAUGUACCUUACCCCAUAUGUACCUUACCCCAUAUGUACCUUGCCCUAUUUUGUAUGUUUUUAUAUGUGACUUUGUUUAUUAUUAAUGAUAUCAUUGAGAUGAAAGUUUUUUUACUUUGUCCAGAUAAACCAUGUAAAAUGCAGAAUAUCAUUUUGUGUGAUGUUUCUGGGUAUAUUUCACACUGUGAAAUUCCUGUUCAAAUGGCGCACCUUGAUACUGUUCAUUAAACACAGGGCAGUGAGAAAGAUGUUACACGGAAGGUUUUGUAAAUAUUUUCAAUUGUUGUUUUUAAAUACUACAAUCUUUAAACAAAUGAAAAGCGUAAUUGAUGGGGAGGCUAAUCUGCAUUCUUUCAUGUUCUAAGAUGUAAACUGUUUUCAUAAGUUUUAAGGAACCAAAAGCUGUAAACCCAUUGUGAGGAAAAUGUAUGUAAUUACUGCACAAAGAAAGAAAAUAAUCUUCAUCAUUAUUUAUUAUAUAAGUAGUUACAGUACCUGAAGACUGUAUUUUUUUGCCCAGCGACAGUUCAUUAGUACACCGUAGCAAAACAAUUCCCAAUCGGCUUUCAUUUGGUCCCUUGUGAAUACAACCCUGGAUUGAUUGAACUGAAGUUAGACAUGUGACACUGAACAGAAGCAACAUGUCCACUAGAGGGAAUUCUCUCCUCUCAUUCAAAUUCUGAUGCAAAGCGUGAGAAGAGAUAUGAGCUGAGUUGUAUUAACAUUGAGAAAAAUCGACAUCUGGAAGGUGAAUAACAUGAACACAACAUGAUGUAACUUUGAUAUGUUUUUUUAACAUGCCUGUUGUAAUGUGAAUGCAGUGAAGUUCAUUUACAGUUGGAUAUGUUGUUGUGGUUCUAUAACAAUUCAGUCCAUCUACUCUGCACUCACCAUAUUUUUUGACUAACACAAUAAACCAUUGCAAUUAUAAUAACAUAUAUAUAGCAUUUAUUUCAAUUAAGAAUUCUAAAUUAGACUGCAGUAAUACAUGAAGGUGUGGUUGACUGUGAGGGACUGUGAUGUCAGAUGUGUCGUAUUUCCUGUUCUUUAUAAGUAGAUGUCAGACAGAGACAGACAGCAGUACACAGCCAGAUGUGGUGAUAUGAUGCCACUGCUGAGGUGUUUGCUCUUGUUCUACUUCUCAUUCAAUGAAUUGACCACAGCAGCAGGAAUCCAAAGAUGACUUCAGCUACCAGUUUUCUGUUUUUUGCGAUCCAUUUAGCCUAUAUCAGAGCUGGAAUUUCUUCUGAGACAUUUGUCAAACUGGAGUGUGAAGAAGAAUACCAUGGGGUUUAUGGUCAGCAGUCAUUGCUGGAGUGUAUUGUCAAUGCUGUUCAGAACGUGACCAUCUUGACGGUGACCUGGAAGAGGGUGGGAGGUGAUGCACCUUUGUUGGAAUACCAUAAACAUGCAAAUGCCUCAACCCUUGGAUUUAAAUUUGCUGAGCCAUCCUGGAACAAGAAUAAUAUGAAUGUGUCCUUGUUGUUGACAAAUACCAAGAUGGCCGACAAGGGUGUGUAUGAAUGCAUGGUGAGAACAGACAGUGGUGAUGCUACAGCUACAGUCAGCCUCAGUGUCACAGCUAUGUACAAAUCACCAACCAUGAGUUCCAGUCCUGAGAACUGCAUAAAACAGAACACUGGUGUGACCAUUUUCUGCAACUCUACAGGCGGGCACCAGAAAGGGUUGAUCUGGUGGUUUGACGAGUUUGGCACGAACUGCACAGGCAGUGCUGAACUCGUGGCCAAAAAGACAGACGAUACACUGUUUAGCCUCUCCAGUAAACUGACAGUUCUGAAGGCUACAUACAGUGGUUCCACAAACUACUCAUGCACAGUGCACAACACCAAUGGAGUCCAGGAGGGGAAGGCAUCAUUUGAGAUCCCGUUUGUAUGUUCAGCAGGUUCAAAAGAUGAUUUUGCUUCUGACUCCACUACCCAGUGGCUUGCCCCAGUUGGGGUCAUAGGAUCUCUGGUCAUUGGACUCCUUGCUGCGCUGCUGAUAUUUAAGAGGCGCUCUGUCCAACGUGCUCGAAGGCAGUCCACCUUCCCAUUAAUGAGUCACAGUGGCCACCCAACUGACAGGCACCACGAUGAUGAGGCAGAAGGAAACGCUAUCCUUACUGUCUAAAUAGUGACAGUACACAGGACCAGCAUUCCAGUCUUUAGUAACUGAUUUGUUAACUGGCAGUCUCUGGAAGGGACUGUUUCCUUGACGAUCAAUAAGUGGCUUGUCACUAUCCUUUGAUGGACUGUUUCCUGUUAAGUGUCCAAUGACAGUCACUUUGGCACUCGGGUCAUUCUAAUCGAGGCAUUUGUUUCUUCACAAUCUACUGCUGAUGGCAGCCUUUAAAGUCUGUGGUUGAUUACAAAUGAUAUGUUUCUAUACAGGGUUGCCAUGGUGUCACUAUACUCUAGAUUCUACCACUGUAGAACAUUGGUAUACUGUAAUACCAGGUAAUCUAAUCACUGUGCACACUAUACCACGAGGUGCAUGGUUUAACAUUCCACAUUUCCUCUACUGUAGUUUCUACCAUAUUGGUUGUUAUUACUAUACUGUAACACCAUACCAUCUAAUCACUGUUACACGCUGUUCUAUACUAAGGUUGUGCGAACAUUCAAUUUGAACACUGUACUUUUCUGAAAACAUGUAGCAAAACUGGUUACCCUUCUGAAAGAGGGUUUCACAAGACUGCACAACAACCACUCUUCUAACCAAAAGCCAGCCGGUUGCUCCUACCACAGAUUUAGUUUUAGGCCUUCCUCUUUUUCCUUGUCUUGCUCGAUCUGCUAGUGUAAAAUGCAGAUUUAUAUCUUGCUCAGAGCGCACGUCCAGGAAAUGCAAUGGAAUGAAACUGUAAACAUGUUGAUCAUCAGGUUUCAAGAGAUACUCCUGCAUCUGUCAGUAUUCUCCCUGGGCUUUGAUUCUACUACAAUAUCUUUGGGGAGAAUGUGGCACCCAAUUCCCUAUAUAGUGCACUACUUUUGACCAGAUGGAAUAGGGUGCCAUUUGGAAUGCAACCUUUGACUUGACUUUGUGUUUUAUCAUUUUUUGGCACUGAAUGUAACAUAUAACCAUUAUCAGAAGUCAGCCUGUCACUCCUCCCACAGCUGUUUGUUUUUGGCCUUCCUCUUUCUCAUUGUCUGGCGCCAUCUGCUGGUGUAAAAUUCAGAUCUACAUUUAUAUCUUGCCCAGGGCUCGCCUCCAUGAAGGCAGUGCAAUGGAACGCAACUGUAAACCUGAAAAACGAGAGUCAAUUAGUCAUCUGAGAGAAUUAGUUAUCAGUUUCAAGUUGAACAUGUAAAUGUUUACCUGGUGGUUGAUUAUGAUGCUUUUUUGUAAAUGCCACAAUUGUUUUAUGUUAUGAAAGAGGCUGCUACUGUCUUAAUAUUGUAGUUAUAGAAUGACUGUUUCAGUUCCCAUUAUGUUUUACUGCUAUCAUGUUGCUGAUGGCAUUACAUAUAGACUGACUAAUCUGUUGUAUUGUGGCAGCUUGAGGUGAAUGGUGUCCACGACAAGACUCCACCUCCCAUAAUUCCUGGCAAAUCUUGUAUCAGUUCCUUCUUACUUCAGUACAUGAUUGGAAGUUGGCACUAUAGAUACAGCUAGAACUAUUAAUCAAUUUAUAUGCUACCCUGCUUGGCACUGGUCAGGGCUCUUCCAAAGAAGCUUGGGCUUUUGGUUUAGCUCUACUAUAGUGGUUUGAGAUGUUCAUGUGUAAAGUUUUGUAUUUCGCAGUUCAACAAAAUGUUUUCUUCUCUGUAUGAAGUGUAUAUCAAGCGAUUUUGUUGAUGUGCCUGCUUGAGGCCUACUUCACUUACGUUUUUGUUGUCCCCCGUUGUUUUGUAUAUUUCACACUUUUGAAAUUCCUUUUCAAAUCCCACACCUUGACACUGUUCAGGUUUUGUAAAUAGGAAGAUUUUAAUUGUAGUUUUUAAUUACUACAAUCUUUUUUUUUAAUGAAAAUCCUAAUUGAUGGGGAGGCUAAUCUGAAAUGUUCUUAUGUUCUAAGGUCAACUGUUUUAAGGAACCAGAAGCAGUAAACCAUUGUGAGAAAAAUGUAUAUAAUUACUGCACAAAGAUUUUUUUAAUACUUUUUUUAUCCAUCAUUAUGCAUUAUAUAAGUAGUUACAGUACCCAAAGACAAUUUUUUUUUGCCCAGCGACAGUACAUCAUUGCAUUCAUUAGUGCACACCGUAGCAAAACAAUUUGCAACGGAAAACAAAUGUUUCUUAUUGGACAAGUUCAGGUGGUCCCCUCCACAUUUUGGUCAAUCUAUCAUUUUGUUCCUUGUGAAUACAACCCUGGUUUGAUUGAAUCCAGAGAUGUGACACUGAACAGAAGACAACUUGUCCAUUAGAUCAGGGUUCCCCAAAUGGCGGCCCACGGGCCGGUGGUUUUAUUUUGCCCCCCAAAAAUAUACAGUUAUAUUUUUUACUACUUUUACUCAACUACACUACUAUUCAAAAGUUUGGGGUCACUUAGAAAUGUCCUUGUUUUUGAAAGAAAAGCACCAUUAAAACAUCAAAUUGAUCAGAAAUACA
This is a non-coding RNA of Oncorhynchus mykiss (rainbow trout), 9379 nucleotides long. The record is from RefSeq and is a predicted model, not a curated record. NCBI's taxonomy places the organism in Eukaryota, Metazoa, Chordata, Actinopteri, Salmoniformes, Salmonidae.